UCGGAUAUGGUACAACGGUCAACAUUAGCGCCUCUCCUGUGCGCGCUAGUUCGGGGUUCGAUCCCUGGUAUCCAAU
This is a non-coding RNA of Mucidula mucida, 76 nucleotides long. The record is from the annotation of a GenBank genome assembly. Lineage: Eukaryota; Fungi; Basidiomycota; Agaricomycetes; Agaricales; Physalacriaceae.